This 559-nucleotide ribosomal RNA is filed under the name Bacteroidetes CH12. RNAcentral describes it as "bacterial SSU rRNA". It matches the Rfam family "Bacterial small subunit ribosomal RNA", at positions 119 to 677 of the family's 1533-position model. The record is from RNAcentral. Lineage: Bacteria; Pseudomonadati; Bacteroidota.
AUGCAACCUACCUUCCACUGGGGGAUAGCCCACCGAAAGGUGGAUUAAUACCGCAUAUGACCACGAGAGGGCAUCCGACCGUGGUAAAAGCUGAGGCGGUGGAAGAUGGGCAUGCGUGCCAUUAGCUAGUUGGCGGGGUAAAGGCCCACCAAGGCGACGAUGGCUAGGGGUUCUGAGAGGAUGGUCCCCCACACUGGUACUGAGACACGGACCAGACUCCUACGGGAGGCAGCAGUAGGGAAUAUUGGGCAAUGGCCGAGAGGCUGACCCAGCCAUGCCGCGUGCAGGAAGAAGGCCUUCUGGGUUGUAAACUGCUUUUACCAGGGAAGAAAACGCGCCUGCGGGCGUAACUGACGGUACCUGGUGAAUAAGCACCGGCUAACUCCGUGCCAGCAGCCGCGGUAAUACGGAGGGUGCAAGCGUUGUCCGGAUUUAUUGGGUUUAAAGGGUGCGUAGGCGGCCCGUUAAGUCAGCGGUGAAAUCCCAGGGCUCAACCCUGGAACUGCCGUUGAUACUGGCGGGCUUGAGUUCGGUCGAGGCGGGCGGAACUGGUGGUGUA